UAUUGGGGCUGUCAGACAGAGUAGGACUGAGUUGUAGGCUUCAUGGUAGAAUCAGAGAUAUUUUAUCCAACAUGUUGCUUCAAAAUUUGCUGUGGCCAAUUGUGGUCUACAUCUUCUUUGGAACAAGCACAGCUCAGAAGGUCACCCAAGAACCAUCAACAAUGUCUGGACAGGAAGGGAAGAAUGUGACUCUGAAUUGCAAGUAUGAAACCAGUGACCCUAGUUAUUCUUUGUUUUGGUACAAACAGCAUGAUUUUGGGGCAAUGCUGCUUCUUAUUCGACAGGAUUCCUACAGCCAAAAGAACCUGUGGAAGGACCGUUAUUCAGUGAACUUCCAGAAAGCUGAGAAGUUCAUCAAUCUCACCAUCUCAGCUUCUCAGCUAGGGGACUCAGCCACGUAUUUCUGUGCUUUCAUAACACUCACAGUGAUGGAAGUGAUAAGAAGAGCCAAUACAAAAAUACCAAUGCUGUGUAGGUCUUUCCCACCUGCAGCAUAG
Molecule: non-coding RNA, 497 nt
Organism: Sarcophilus harrisii (Tasmanian devil)
Lineage: Eukaryota; Metazoa; Chordata; Mammalia; Dasyuromorphia; Dasyuridae
Source: the annotation of a RefSeq genome assembly